RNAcentral lists this ribosomal RNA (510 nucleotides) under Pseudomonas sp. Z89. RNAcentral describes it as "bacterial SSU rRNA". It matches the Rfam family "Bacterial small subunit ribosomal RNA", at positions 212 to 706 of the family's 1533-position model. Lineage: Bacteria; Pseudomonadati; Pseudomonadota; Gammaproteobacteria; Pseudomonadales; Pseudomonadaceae. The record is from RNAcentral.
UGCGCUUAUCAAGAUGAGCCUAGGUCGGGAUUAGCUAGUUUGGUGAAGGUAAUGGCUCACCAAGGCGACGAUCCGUAACUUGGUCUGAGAGGAUGAUCAAGUCACACCUGGAACUGAGACACGGUCCAAGACUCCUACGGGAGGCAGCAGUGGGGAAUAUUGGACAAUGGGCGAAAGCCUUGAUCCAGCCAUGCCGCGUGUGUGAAGAAGGUCUUCGGAUUGUAAAGCACUUUAAGUUGGGAGGAAGGGCAGUUACCUAAUACGUAAUUGUUUUGACGUUACCGACAGAAUAAGCACCGGCUAACUCUGUGCCAGCAGCCGCGGUAAUACAGAGGGUGCAAGCGUUAAUCGGAAUUACUGGGCGUAAAGCGCGCGUAGGUGGUUUGUUAAGUUGAAUGUGAAAUCCCCGGGCUCAACCUGGGAACUGCAUCCAAAACUGGCAAGCUAGAGUAUGGUAGAGGGUGGUGGAAUUUCCUGUGUAGCGGUGAAAUGCGUAGAUAUAGGAAGGAA